Long non-coding RNA from Drosophila pseudoobscura, 421 nucleotides. RefSeq lists it as uncharacterized. The transcript is spliced from 2 exons. NCBI's taxonomy places the organism in Eukaryota, Metazoa, Arthropoda, Insecta, Diptera, Drosophilidae. The record is from RefSeq and is a predicted model, not a curated record.
CAGUCCCGUUCAGUGAGCUAGAGACUUGAGGUAACUGUCUGGCUUGUUUACAAUGAUGGCUAUCUUGAAGAGCAUUAUCGUUCUGGCCGUGGCCGUGUCCUGUAGUCAUUCGUUGGCAGCGUGGGUAAAGUAUCCAGCCAAAGGCACCGCGGAUGAAGCAUGCGCUUUGCCAGAUGGCCGCAUACUUAGCACUCAUAUGCGUGAUAAUCACUUCGAAAUGUGUGGUGAAUAUUUAUGCUAUGACACGUCCGGAACCACCGUUAUAGUAUAUUGCCAGACCACACUCCCGUUCCAGGAGUGCAACGAAACUGGCGUUGACACGUAUAAACUAUUUCCCGAAUGCUGUUUUCAAUGCGUCUACUACACUGAUUGUUAAGUUAAACAUAUGUAUGAGCAAAACAACAACGAAUUGAGAACUGUA